CAGUAGACGGCGACAUAAUUGGGACGGUUGUGGUUAGGAGAAGAAGAACACGGAAAGGAACCGCCACACGCAGGACGCGAUCCCUGGUCUCCGGGGAGAAGGUCCUGUGUAGUUUAACCAUCCCCCACCCC
This is a long non-coding RNA of Etheostoma cragini (Arkansas darter), 131 nucleotides long. RefSeq lists it as uncharacterized. The transcript has 3 exons. Lineage: Eukaryota; Metazoa; Chordata; Actinopteri; Perciformes; Percidae. The record is from RefSeq and is a predicted model, not a curated record.